GUCGGAGAUGCCCGUGUGCCCCCAACCGCUCUUUCAGCUUUGACACUACGUUGCUUUGGGGUGCAGGGCUGGGGAUCCCCACUGGCCCCCCUCCAGGCCUGGUUGGGGGCUCUCGGGGUACAGGGCCGUUAUUUAAGAAAGCCUGGGCCCCUGGCUUCAGCUCACAGUCCUCUCCAAGUGCAGUUUUGGGGAGUUUUCAGAAUGACCCAUCUUACGUAGUUGAUGAUUUAAAGCCACAAGCUGUCGCUGGAGAUUCCCUGUGCAUUUUUUUACCUCAUUCUUGCAUUAGGUGAUGUGACGGUUCAGAAACGUCCUUGCUGGGAGUCUGAGCUCUGCAGCCCUGCAGCUCCAGGCCACGUUUCACUUUGGGGGCACGAACCGGCGAUAGCGCUCGGCCUCCUUCCGUGUCUCCUGUGCCGUCGGGUUAAUUGCCGGUAGCACCUGUUGGGGCAAGUCUGUGCCAGAUUGGCGGCCACGCUUUUCUUGGAGAGGACUGUGGUGUGUAAACGGAAGAGGAUGUGCUCAUCAGGACAGAGCCUCCUGGUAGAAAAGGGUCCGGGUUGAAAGCAAAGCAGAUGCACAGGAGCUGGUUUCGCAUCAAGGAUGAAACUACCCAUGAAGUCGCACUAAUCUUGCAUCUCCGGUCUUUCUUUCUAACCUGUGGAGAAGCGCACUCCCACCCCAUCCUACUGGCACCUGUUGACAGCCCUUUGUGGUGGAUAAGACCUCACUUCCCUCGCCGAGAAGACAGAAGGCCGAGGUCAGAGCGAGGCCGGGGAAGAGACACGUGCGCUGCCUCCGUGUGAGCCCGGUGCCCAUGGCCCGGGAGUGGGCCCGGACCCACCGCCGCCCCCGCAGCUGCGAAGACCAAGGCCAGGAUGAGUGACCUGCCCGGCGCCCCCCGCUCGCCCGACACCAGAUUCUGAGCCGGCCCUCUGGACUCUAGCCCGGUGUGCUGUUUCUCCGUGGCCACGUGCGCCGACAGGGUUCCAGUCCCCCUCCUUCCUCCCAGGAUGUGAAACGGGCAGAAAAAUAAAGCAUCGCCUUUCCGCAC
RNAcentral lists this long non-coding RNA (1054 nucleotides) under Suricata suricatta (meerkat). RNAcentral's name for it is "lncRNA (ENSSSUG00005023427.1)". The record is from RNAcentral. Lineage: Eukaryota; Metazoa; Chordata; Mammalia; Carnivora; Herpestidae.